RNAcentral lists this unclassified non-coding RNA (344 nucleotides) under uncultured fungus. RNAcentral's name for it is "sequence contains ITS1". The stretch from base 1 to 105 matches the Rfam family "5.8S ribosomal RNA", at positions 50 to 154 of the family's 154-position model. Lineage: Eukaryota; Fungi. The record is from RNAcentral.
AAAGUGCGAUAAGCAAUGCGAAUUGCAGAAUUCCGCGAAUCAUCAGAUCCUUGAACGCAACUGGCGCCAGGAGGCUCUCCUUCUGGCAUGUCUGUUUCAGUGUCUGAAAACAUCACAAAUUAAACUUAAUGUGGUUGACAAUGAGAAAUCUUUUGGUUCCUCAGAAUCUCCCAUGAAAGAUGUACAUGCAGGUCUUUGGACCUCUCAUCGAAUUGGUCACUGUUCUUUCAGUGAUUUCGAUAGAGGAAACUAACUUCCAAUUACCUAAAUGCGUGUAGACCCUCUCUCUUGAGAAUCAUCAAUCUCUGCAUCUGAAAUCAGGCAAGAACACCCGCUGAACUUAA